This 230-nucleotide long non-coding RNA is filed under the name Olea europaea (common olive). RNAcentral's name for it is "long non-coding RNA (OEUR_LNC014712)". The record is from RNAcentral. Lineage: Eukaryota; Viridiplantae; Streptophyta; Magnoliopsida; Lamiales; Oleaceae.
UUAAAUUUUGACUUAUUCCGGGUGUUCUAUUUUCUUUUAACAGUCGACUGUUUCGACUGUUUACCGACCAAACAGUCAACUGUUUACCGACCAAACAGUCGACUGUUAGCCGACUGUUAACCGACUUAACAGACACGACUUUUAGGAACAGCAUGUCUGUUUGGAUUUUUGAAGCUUGUCUGAAAGGUGAUAACUGUUCGAAUGGCCACGAACAAGUCUAUAAAUAGCCA